RNAcentral lists this small RNA (748 nucleotides) under Arabidopsis thaliana (thale cress). Its description in RNAcentral is "ATSL175100". The record is from RNAcentral. Lineage: Eukaryota; Viridiplantae; Streptophyta; Magnoliopsida; Brassicales; Brassicaceae.
UAUAUAAAUGAAUCAAACUCUUAUUAAAUGAAACCCCUACAAAAAUAUAUUUAAAAUGAGAGAGAAGACAUGAAGUACUACUAAUUAAAAACACACAUAGCAUAAAGGAUUACCAAUGAAUCUGCCAUCCAGACUCCAUAGAACACAAGUAAUAGAUGUUGUUAUUUCUUCAGUCAAUAGCAAAAAUCCACUUAGUUGAAAGCAGAGAUUAAGGGCAAAAAUAACAAGUCAUAAAUAGAUGUUGUUAUUUCUUCAGUCACACCUUGUAUAUCUCCUUCUAGAAGACUCUGAUCUCUUUAGGUGAAACGCACCGUCUUGGACCAUCACGUGCACUCAUGUGACAUAAGACUUGAGACUUGAGACCCUCUGCUUCCAAUAGAGGCUUCUUCUUAAGUUUCUUUCAAGUUGGCUCACACUCAAUAAAUCUCCACCUUGAGACAAUCCUUGAAAGACUCUUUAUGACUUGUGAGAUGUCCAUAAGAGAGGGAAAGAUGAACCUUAAGCUUUGGUGAAAGUUUAGACAUCUCCCAUGGCAUGAAUGACUUCGAAGCCACUUCUUUAAGGACAGAAAAGUCUCACAAUGUGACUACAAUGCUUGCAGAAUCGACUGAUGGAAUAUAGAUAAACAAAAGAUCAAAUGACCAAAUUAUGUUAAGAGAAACUAAGCUCAGGAUUUUGUAAGUUGUGAAGUUUACACACCAAGAAGUAAUGCUUAGAAUUCUUCCUAAAUUUUGUAAAAUCCUUUCUG